UGCUGAUCAGACAUCCCAAAUACGAUUACUACAACCUGGACAACGACACCAUGUUGAUCAAACUGUCCCGGCCCGCCGCCAUGAACCGCAAUGUGGUCGCCGUUCCCCUGCCGAAGCAUGCGCCCU
Molecule: long non-coding RNA, 126 nt
Organism: Amblyraja radiata (thorny skate)
Lineage: Eukaryota; Metazoa; Chordata; Chondrichthyes; Rajiformes; Rajidae
Exons: 3
Source: RefSeq, a predicted model, not a curated record